CCCUUAGAUGUUCUGGGCCGCACGCGCGCUACACUGAUGCAUUCAACGAGUUUCUUCCUGGUCCGAGAGGAAUGGGUAACCUUUUGAAAGUGCAUCGUGAUAGGGAUAGACUAUUGCAAUUAUUGGUCUUCAACGAGGAAUUCCUAGUAAGUAUGUGUCAUCAUCACGCACUGAUUACGUCCCUGCCCUUUGUACACACCGCCCGUCGCUCCUACCGAUUGAGUGAGCCGAUGAAACUGCCGGAUGUGGACUAUUCAUAGUCUGCAGAAGAUAUUUGAAUCGUAGCGCUUAGAGGAAGGAGAAGUCGUAACA
Molecule: ribosomal RNA, 312 nt
Filed under: uncultured eukaryote
Lineage: Eukaryota
Description: partial 18S ribosomal RNA
Rfam family: Eukaryotic small subunit ribosomal RNA
Source: RNAcentral